RNAcentral lists this ribosomal RNA (253 nucleotides) under uncultured bacterium. RNAcentral's name for it is "partial 16S ribosomal RNA". It matches the Rfam family "Bacterial small subunit ribosomal RNA", at positions 524 to 776 of the family's 1533-position model. The record is from RNAcentral.
UACGGAGGGUGCAAGCGUUAAUCGGAAUUACUGGGCGUAAAGGGUGCGUAGGUGGUUUAGUAAGUUAUCUGUGAAAUCCCUGGGCUUAACCUGGGCAGGUCAGAUAAGACUGCUGGACUCGAGUAUGGUAGAGGGUAGUGGAAUUUCCGGUGUAGCGGUGAAAUGCGUAGAGAUCGGAAGGAACACCAGUGGCGAAGGCGGCUACCUGGACUAAUACUGACACUGAGGCACGAAAGCGUGGGGAGCAAACAGG